Molecule: ribosomal RNA, 253 nt
Filed under: uncultured bacterium
Lineage: Bacteria
Description: partial 16S ribosomal RNA
Rfam family: Bacterial small subunit ribosomal RNA
Source: RNAcentral
UACGGGGGGGGCAAGCGUUGUUCGGAAUUACUGGGCGUAAAGGGCUCGUAGGUGGCCAACUAAGUCAGACGUGAAAUCCCUCGGCUUAACCGAGGAACUGCGUCUGAUACUGGAUGGCUUGAGUUUGGGAGAGGAAUGCGGAAUUCCAGGUGUAGCGGUGAAAUGCUUAGAUAUGACAUAGAACACCCAUUGCGAAGGCAGCUUACUACGGGAUUAUUGACACUGAGGCACGAAAGCGUGGGGAUCAAACAGG